RNAcentral lists this unclassified non-coding RNA (308 nucleotides) under plant metagenome. RNAcentral's name for it is "partial contains 5.8S ribosomal RNA, internal transcribed spacer 2, and large subunit ribosomal RNA". The stretch from base 1 to 101 matches the Rfam family "5.8S ribosomal RNA", at positions 54 to 154 of the family's 154-position model. The record is from RNAcentral.
UGCGAUAAGUAAUGUGAAUUGCAGAAUUCCGUGAAUCAUCGAAUCUUUGAACGCACAUUGCGCCCUCUGGCAUUCCGGGGGGCAUGCCUGUCCGAGCGUCAUUACGCACCCUCAAGCCCGGCUUGUGUGAUGGGCCCCGGCGUCUCGUUCGCGAGACGGGCCCGAAAGGCAGCGGCGGCGUCGACCCGAUCAGCCCGAGCGUAUGGGGACUUCUGUCACACGUUCGCGGUGCGGACCGGCGCCUGCUUGACUUUUCUGAUUAUCCAGGUUGACCUCGGAUCAGGUAGGGAUACCCGCUGAACUUAAGC